GUGGUCUUACACGUUCGGACUGACCGUCCUCCUUUAUAUCUAGCCAUUAUCUUUAUUUUUUUCAACGUCGUACAUGAGAAUCUCAUUUUUUUGCAACAAAUCUCCUCUCCGACCUACCUGGUUUCACUUGCUCCUCUCCUCUUGUCUACCUCCUCCACGCUGGUUGUCUCAUAGCUUCUCCGCUCGCCGUUCUCAAUCUCAGUACC
This 206-nucleotide long non-coding RNA is filed under the name Hordeum vulgare. RNAcentral's name for it is "long non-coding RNA (HVUL_LNC005367)". Lineage: Eukaryota; Viridiplantae; Streptophyta; Magnoliopsida; Poales; Poaceae. The record is from RNAcentral.